GGAUUGGUCUUCUGAAAUCCGGUUUCAGGCUUACAAAAUGCUGCAGGUUUACACUCGUAUACUACUACUCGUCUUUUUUUGGUGGAGAUUUUUUGACUCUCCUUCAAAGAUAUAUCCUGUUGAUAGUCUAAUCAAGAGAUCCUAAAACACCCUCUGCUUGAAUGUGAGGAGAAAUUCUUUAGAAAGAACCAUCUCCAAGAUCUUGAAAUGAUUCUCCUUUCAAAUUUUCUAAUUUCCUUGUUCCAAAUGCACAAAUCAGGCAUUGGGGCUGGGGCAUACUUCCAGUGGGACAAAAUUAUAAAGAUCUGACCCUUCUGUAUUUGGUCACUUCUGGUGUGUUUCAUGCAUUCUUUGUUUGCCACACAAUGGUGUUCUUUGAGGCAUUAAUUGUUGUUAUGGAAAGUCAAUCAUUAU
This 414-nucleotide unclassified non-coding RNA is filed under the name Hevea brasiliensis (rubber tree). Lineage: Eukaryota; Viridiplantae; Streptophyta; Magnoliopsida; Malpighiales; Euphorbiaceae. The record is from RNAcentral.